Molecule: ribosomal RNA, 308 nt
Filed under: uncultured bacterium
Lineage: Bacteria
Description: partial 16S ribosomal RNA
Rfam family: Bacterial small subunit ribosomal RNA
Source: RNAcentral
GAGACAGCAGUAGCCGCGGGAAUACAGAGGGUGCAAGCGUUAAUCGGAAUUACUGGGCGUAAAGCGCGCGUAGGUGGUUUGUUAAGUUGGAUGUGAAAUCCCCGGGCUCAACCUGGGAACUGCAUUCAAAACUGACUGACUAGAGUAUGGUAGAGGGUGGUGGAAUUUCCUGUGUAGCGGUGAAAUGCGUAGAUAUAGGAAGGAACACCAGUGGCGAAGGCGACCACCUGGACUAAUACUGACACUGAGGUGCGAAAGCGUGGGGAGCAAACAGGAUUAGAUACCCCUGUAGUCCCUGUCUCUUAUAC